GACGAACGCUGGCGGCGUGCCUAAUACAUGCAAGUAGAACGCUGAAGAGAGGAGCUUGCUCUUCUUGGAUGAGUUGCGAACGGGUGAGUAACGCGUAGGUAACCUGCCUUGUAGCGGGGGAUAACUAUUGGAAACGAUAGCUAAUACCGCAUAACAAUGGAUGACACAUGUCAUUUAUUUGAAAGGGGCAAUUGCUCCACUACAAGAUGGACCUGCGUUGUAUUAGCUAGUAGGUGAGGUAACGGCUCACCUAGGCGACGAUACAUAGCCGACCUGAGAGGGUGAUCGGCCACACUGGGACUGAGACACGGCCCAGACUCCUACGGGAGGCAGCAGUAGGGGAUCUUCGGCAAUGGGGGCAACCCUGACCGAGCAACGCCGCGUGAGUGAAGAAGGUUUUCGGAUCGUAAAGCUCUGUUGUAAGUCAAGAACGAGUGUGAGAGUGGAAAGUUCACACUGUGACGGUAGCUUACCAGAAAGGGACGGCUAACUACGUGCCAGCAGCCGCGGUAAUACGUAGGUCCCGAGCGUUGUCCGGAUUUAUUGGGCGUAAAGCGAGCGCAGGCGGUUUGAUAAGUCUGAAGUUAAAGGCUGUGGCUCAACCAUAGUUCGCUUUGGAAACUGUCAAACUUGAGUGCAGAAGGGGAGAGUGGAAUUCCAUGUGUAGCGGUGAAAUGCGUAGAUAUAUGGAGGAACACCGGUGGCGAAAGCGGCUCUCUGGUCUGUAACUGACGCUGAGGCUCGAAAGCGUGGGGAGCGAACAGG
Molecule: ribosomal RNA, 765 nt
Filed under: uncultured Streptococcus sp.
Lineage: Bacteria; Bacillati; Bacillota; Bacilli; Lactobacillales; Streptococcaceae
Description: bacterial SSU rRNA
Rfam family: Bacterial small subunit ribosomal RNA
Source: RNAcentral